This 364-nucleotide ribosomal RNA is filed under the name uncultured bacterium. Its description in RNAcentral is "bacterial SSU rRNA". It matches the Rfam family "Bacterial small subunit ribosomal RNA", at positions 441 to 793 of the family's 1533-position model. The record is from RNAcentral.
AGGAAGGUAGUGUAGUUAACACCUGCAUUAUUUGACGUUACCUACAGAAGAAGCACCGGCUAACUCCGUGCCAGCAGCCGCGGUAAUACGGAGGGUGCGAGCGUUAAUCGGAAUUACUGGGCGUAAAGCGCAUGCAGGCGGCCUGUUAAGUCAGAUGUGAAAGACCCGGGGCGUUAACCUCGGAAUUGCAUUUGUAAACUAGGCAGGCUAGAGUCUUGUAGAGGGGGGUAGGAAGUUUCAGGUGUAGCGGUGAAAUAGCGUAGAGAUCUGAAGGAAUACCAGUGGCGAAGGCGGCCCCCUCGGACAAAGACUGACGCUCAGAUGCGAAAGCGUGGGGAGCAAACAGGAUUAGAUACCCUGGUAG